GUUUUUAUAGUUUAAAUAAAACAUUGGUCUUGUAAAUCAAAAUUAAGUAUAUAUN
Molecule: transfer RNA, 55 nt
Filed under: Nyctemera arctata albofasciata
Lineage: Eukaryota; Metazoa; Arthropoda; Insecta; Lepidoptera; Erebidae
Description: tRNA-Thr
Source: RNAcentral